CUGGUGAGUUGUGAGGACCCAGAAGCAGACACAGAGACAGAGAUCAACUUAAGGCGUAAUUUAAUGUCCAAACAAUGCAAAAAGAGGAAGUCCGGUAGGCUGGCUGGCUGGCUGUCGUGUGGGCUGGAGACACUGCAGGAAAAACCAGAGGAGAGGUAGGUAAGUGAACAUGCACAGAAUCACGAGGAGCAAAGUUACAGAUACUCUUACAAAGAGGAAGGCCAAGAGACACGUCUGUACCACUAGGAAGGGUAGACAAUACUCAGGCGCUGAGACUGAGGGCUGCAGUCUUCUUAAAGUGCCUUGAUUGGAGAUGUGGAGCAGGUGUGUCGUCUCACUCAGCCUCAGCGCCGGGGGAGGGGAGGAAGCUCUGGAAAAGAGUAAAGCCAGACCAGGCAAACAGGGAAACACAGGAAGUCCAGCCAAAAUAAAAUAGGAUGAGGAGGCGUCUCAC
This is a non-coding RNA of Xyrichtys novacula (pearly razorfish), 454 nucleotides long. The record is from the annotation of a GenBank genome assembly. NCBI's taxonomy places the organism in Eukaryota, Metazoa, Chordata, Actinopteri, Labriformes, Labridae.